Molecule: ribosomal RNA, 460 nt
Filed under: uncultured bacterium
Lineage: Bacteria
Description: partial 16S ribosomal RNA
Rfam family: Bacterial small subunit ribosomal RNA
Source: RNAcentral
CCUACGGGUGGCAGCAGUGAGGAAUAUUGGUCAAUGGCCGCAAGCCUGAACCAGCCAAGCCGCGUGAGGGAUGACGGCUCUCUGGAUUGUAAACUGCUUUUGUCAGGGAGUAAAGGACGCCACGUGUUGCUGUUUGAGAGUACCUUAAGAAAAAGCAUCGGCUAACUCCGUUCCAGCAGCCGCGGUAAUACGGAGGAUUCACGCGUUAUCCGGAUUUAUUGGGGUUAAAGGGUGGGCAGGCGGGCAGUUAAGUUAGGGGGGAAAGGCCGGGGCUCAACCCCGGAAGUGCCUGUGAAACUGGUGAGCUUGAGUGUAGGAGAGGUAAGCGGAAUGCGUGGUGUAGCGGUGAAAUGCGUAGAUAUCAGGCAGAACACCGAUUGCGAAGGCAGCUUACCGGACUACAACUGACGUUGAGGCACGAAAGCGUGGGGAGCAAACAGGAUUAGAUACCCUGGUAGUC